CCUACGGGAGGCAGCAGUAGGGAAUAUUGCUCAAUGGGGGAAACCCUGAAGCAGCAACGCCGCGUGGAGGAUGAAGGUUUUCGGAUUGUAAACUCCUUUUGUUAGAGAAGAUAAUGACGGUAUCUAACGAAUAAGCACCGGCUAACUCCGUGCCAGCAGCCGCGGUAAUACGGAGGGUGCAAGCGUUACUCGGAAUCACUGGGCGUAAAGAGCGCGUAGGCGGGAUAGCAAGUCAGAUGUGAAAUCCUAUGGCUUAACCAUAGAACUGCAUUUGAAACUGUUAUUCUAGAGAAUGGGAGAGGUAGGUGGAAUGCUUGGUGUAGGGGUAAAAUCCGUAGAGAUCAAGAGGAAUACUCAUUGCGAAGGCGACCUGCUAGAACAUAACUGACGCUGAUGCGCGAAAGCGUGGGGAGCAAACAGGAUUAGAUACCCGGGUAGUC
Molecule: ribosomal RNA, 440 nt
Filed under: uncultured bacterium
Lineage: Bacteria
Description: partial 16S ribosomal RNA
Rfam family: Bacterial small subunit ribosomal RNA
Source: RNAcentral